AACAAGGCGUACCUGCGGACCUGCGGAGGGAUCAUUACAGAGUUGCAAAACUCCCUAAACCAUUGUGAACGUUACCUAAACCGUUGCUUCGGCGGGCGGCCCGGGUCCUUCCCGGCGCCCCUCGGCCCUCGCGGGCGCCCGCCGGAGGUAAACCAAACUAUUGCAUUGUAUGGCCUCUCUGAGUCUUCUGUACUGAAUAAGUCAAAACUUUUAACAAUGGAUCUCAGAUCGGAAGAGCAC
RNAcentral lists this unclassified non-coding RNA (240 nucleotides) under soil metagenome. RNAcentral's name for it is "partial contains 5.8S ribosomal RNA, internal transcribed spacer 2, and large subunit ribosomal RNA". The record is from RNAcentral.